Molecule: non-coding RNA, 71 nt
Organism: Podarcis lilfordi (Lilford's wall lizard)
Lineage: Eukaryota; Metazoa; Chordata; Lepidosauria; Squamata; Lacertidae
Source: the annotation of a GenBank genome assembly
GGCCCAUAGCUCAGUGGCAAAGCAUCAGCUUUUCAUGCAGAAGGUCCCAGGUUCAUUCCCCGGCACCUCCA